UACGGGGGGGGCAAGCGUUGUUCGGAAUUACUGGGCGUAAAGGGUUCGUAGGUGGCUCGCUAAGUCAGACGUGAAAUCCCUCAGCUUAACUGGGGAACUGCGUCUGAGACUGGCAGGCUCGAGUGCAGGAGAGGAACGCGGAAUUCCAGGUGUAGCGGUGAAAUGCGUAGAUAUCUGGAGGAACACCGGUGGCGAAGGCGGCGUUCUGGACUGCAACUGACACUGAUGAACGAAAGCCAGGGGAGCAAACGGG
RNAcentral lists this ribosomal RNA (253 nucleotides) under uncultured bacterium. Its description in RNAcentral is "partial 16S ribosomal RNA". It matches the Rfam family "Bacterial small subunit ribosomal RNA", at positions 524 to 776 of the family's 1533-position model. The record is from RNAcentral.